GCGGCUCGUGUUGAACAACACAAUGAAAUUGCCGCUCUUUGCUUUGAGCCUUUUGCUGCUCUUUGCAGUCGGCACCAGCGAUAUUUUCAGUGGUCGCCCCCCAAUCGUUCUUCAGUUAAGGGUGGCCGAUCCUGGUCUGGCUGCUUGUCCCGAUCUGGCUGCUCAGCCUGGUCUGAUUGAUCCUAAUGGCGGCAGAAUCAUUCGGCACUUCCGCAUUCGUAAUUGAGACUAUCGCAGAGCAGUCAUACUCCAGUGUGCCAAAGCGGCAGGGGCGCAUCAGGUCCAAAUGCUGUCGAGAUUUCUCGAGCAUUCCUUAAUUUUAGUUGGCUUGCAAAGCAUUAAAAAUCAAUUAAAAAAUGUAAAUAUUUGGA
Hippocampus comes (tiger tail seahorse) is the source of this 371-nucleotide long non-coding RNA. RefSeq lists it as uncharacterized. NCBI's taxonomy places the organism in Eukaryota, Metazoa, Chordata, Actinopteri, Syngnathiformes, Syngnathidae. The transcript has 3 exons. The record is from RefSeq and is a predicted model, not a curated record.